GAUGAAGAACGUAGCGAAAUGCGAUAAGUAAUGUGAAUUGCAGAAUUCAGAGAAUCAUCGAAUCUUUGAACGCACAUUGCGCCCGCUAGUAUUCUGGCGGGCAUGCCUGUUCGAGCGUCAUUACAACCCUCAGGCCCCCGGGCCUGGCGUUGGGGAUCGGCGGAGCCCCCCGUGGGCACACGCCGUCCCCCAAAUGCAGUGGCGGUCCCGCCGCAGCUUCCAUCGCGUAGUAGCUAACACCUCGCGACUGGAGAGCGGCGCGGCCACGCCGUAAAACACCCAACUCUUCUGAAGUUGACCUCGAAUCAGGUAGGAAUACCCGCUGAACUUAAGCAUAUCAAUAAGCGGAGGA
RNAcentral lists this unclassified non-coding RNA (352 nucleotides) under soil metagenome. RNAcentral describes it as "partial contains 5.8S ribosomal RNA, internal transcribed spacer 2, and large subunit ribosomal RNA". The stretch from base 1 to 120 matches the Rfam family "5.8S ribosomal RNA", at positions 35 to 154 of the family's 154-position model. The record is from RNAcentral.